This 189-nucleotide ribosomal RNA is filed under the name uncultured Verrucomicrobiales bacterium. RNAcentral describes it as "partial 16S ribosomal RNA". It matches the Rfam family "Bacterial small subunit ribosomal RNA", at positions 338 to 524 of the family's 1533-position model. Lineage: Bacteria; Pseudomonadati; Verrucomicrobiota; Verrucomicrobiia; Verrucomicrobiales. The record is from RNAcentral.
CCUACGGGAGGCAGCAGUUUCGAAUCAUUCACAAUGGGCGAAACCCUGAUGGCGCGACGCCGCGUGGGGGAUGAAGGUCUUCGGAUUGUAAACUCCUGUCAUUGGGGACUAAUGGCCAGGCUCAUACCCUGGUUUGAAUUAACCCAAAGAGGAAGCAGUGGCUAACUCUGUGCCAGCAGCCGCGGUAAU